RNAcentral lists this ribosomal RNA (424 nucleotides) under Verrucomicrobiota bacterium. Its description in RNAcentral is "Verrucomicrobia bacterium partial 16S ribosomal RNA". It matches the Rfam family "Bacterial small subunit ribosomal RNA", at positions 355 to 776 of the family's 1533-position model. Lineage: Bacteria; Pseudomonadati; Verrucomicrobiota. The record is from RNAcentral.
UGAGGAAUAUUGGUCAAUGGGCGAGAGCCUGAACCAGCCAAGUAGCGUGCAGGACGACGGCCCUAUGGGUUGUAAACUGCUUUUAUGUGGGGAUAAAGUGCGUGACGUGUCAUGCAUUGCAGGUACCACAUGAAUAAGGACCGGCUAAUUCCGUGCCAGCAGCCGCGGUAAUACGGAAGGUCCGGGCGUUAUCCGGAUUUAUUGGGUUUAAAGGGAGCGUAGGCCGGUUGGUAAGCGUGUUGUGAAAUGUAGGAGCUCAACUUCUAGAUUGCAGCGCGAACUGUCAGACUUGAGUGCGCACAACGUAGGCGGAAUUCAUGGUGUAGCGGUGAAAUGCUUAGAUAUCAUGAAGAACUCCGAUUGCGAAGGCAGCUUACGGGAGCGCAACUGACGCUGAAGCUCGAAGGUGCGGGUAUCGAACAGG